GUCUAUGGCCAUGCCACCCUGAACAAGCCCGAUCCUGUCUGAUCUCAGAAGCUAAGCAGGGUCGGGCCUGGUUAGUACUUGGAUGGGAGACCACCUAGGAAGACCAGGUGCUGUAGGCG
Molecule: ribosomal RNA, 119 nt
Filed under: Pteropus alecto (black flying fox)
Lineage: Eukaryota; Metazoa; Chordata; Mammalia; Chiroptera; Pteropodidae
Source: RNAcentral